Long non-coding RNA from Apis cerana (Asiatic honeybee), 478 nucleotides. RefSeq lists it as uncharacterized. The record is from RefSeq and is a predicted model, not a curated record. Lineage: Eukaryota; Metazoa; Arthropoda; Insecta; Hymenoptera; Apidae.
AAUUGUACAUUCCGCUCGAGACGCCUUUCGAACUCAGUCGAUUUACAGCCGGAGGACCGUUUAACACGUUAUAGAACACGGUUAUACGGCGUUAUAAUUAACGCACGAGGAUGCAAACUCGUACUUACGGACGAUUAAUUAAACCGCACACAACGGCGCCCGCUCUUGGGACUCGUAACGGCCGCAUUAUUAUCGGCCAGCCUGUAUUGUCGUGGCGGCGCGUGGCGAAUACCGAAUAUCGGAAUCUGGAAUAUCGAGCUGGUGGAACGGGAUCGAUAAUAAAGAGUGUCGUUCGUGCACGAGGAACGAGGUGAAUGGUGAAAAGUGAGCGUUGUGUAGCGAUUAUUUUGGAGGAGAGAAAUCUGGAUGAGACGUAACGUGAAUAUGAAAAUUGCAAUAACGAAGUGGUGGAGAAGAGCUGAAAAUGGAUAUUCUGGAUAUUCCAUGGAACAAUAAAUUGAUUAAUUCAUUCUAAAAA